Molecule: long non-coding RNA, 327 nt
Organism: Danaus plexippus (monarch butterfly)
Lineage: Eukaryota; Metazoa; Arthropoda; Insecta; Lepidoptera; Nymphalidae
Exons: 3
Source: RefSeq, a predicted model, not a curated record
GUUCCGCGGAUUGUUCCACUCAAAGUUGUUACGACCGAAUAAGUUUAGAAUUUCGAACUCGUGUGAUUACAUUUUUUGUUGAAUAUUUUAUUUACCUCAGUGUUUUUUUGCUAUGAGUUUGAUUCUGUUUUCGUUAUAUUUUAGUGUUUUUGGAUAUUAUUUUACCAUUUUCUUUUUAAAGUAAGGAUAACGAAUCAAUAUGUAUCCUGAAGUGCUCAUUUUUCUGACUUCGAUAUCAGCAUUUCGUAUCGAUGCUCUGCUCUUCUACAGCGCGAGACAAUAUGAUUCCAUUGUUGAGACUCACGACCAGGGAAAUUUAACGAGCGA